This 465-nucleotide ribosomal RNA is filed under the name uncultured Klebsiella sp. RNAcentral's name for it is "bacterial SSU rRNA". It matches the Rfam family "Bacterial small subunit ribosomal RNA", at positions 338 to 795 of the family's 1533-position model. The record is from RNAcentral. Lineage: Bacteria; Pseudomonadati; Pseudomonadota; Gammaproteobacteria; Enterobacterales; Enterobacteriaceae.
CCUACGGGGGGCUGCAGUGGGGAAUAUUGCACAAUGGGCGCAAGCCUGAUGCGGCCAUGCCGCGUGUGUGAAGAAGGCCUUCGGGUUGUAAAGCACUUUCAGCGGGGAGGAAGGCGUUAAGGUUAAUAACCUUGGCGAUUGACGUUACCCGCAGAAGAAGCACCGGCUAACUCCGUGCCAGCAGCCGCGGUAAUACGGAGGGUGCAAGCGUUAAUCGGAAUUACUGGGCGUAAAGCGCACGCAGGCGGUCUGUCAAGUCGGAUGUGAAAUCCCCGGGCUCAACCUGGGAACUGCAUUCGAAACUGGCAGGCGAGAGUCUUGUAGAGGGGGGUAGAAUUCCAGGUGUAGCGGUGAAAUGCGUAGAGAUCUGGAGGAAUACCGGUGGCGAAGGCGGCCCCCUGGACAAAGACUGACGCUCAGGUGCGAAAGCGUGGGGAGCAAACAGGAUUAGAUACCCCGGUAGUC